GUGGGGGAUAUUGCACAAUGGGGGAAACCCUGAUGCAGCGACACCGCGUGGGUGAAGAAGCGCUUCGGCGUGUAAAGCCCUAUCAGUGGGGAAGAAAAAGGACGGUACCCAAAGAAGAAGCACCGGCUAAAUACGUGCCAGCAGCCGCGGUAAUACGUAUGGUGCAAGCGUUAUCCGGAAUGACUGGGUGUAAAGGGAGCGUAGACGGUUGUACAAGUCUGAUGUGAAAGCCCACGGCUCAACUGUGGGAGUGCAUUGGAAACUGUAGAACUAGAGUAUCGGAGAGGCAAGUGGAAUUCCUAGUGUAGCGGUGAAAUGCGUAGAUAUUAGGAGGAACACCAGUGGCGAAGGCGGCUUGCUGGACGAAAACUGACGUUGAGGCUCGAAAGCGUGGGGAGCAAACAGGA
RNAcentral lists this ribosomal RNA (407 nucleotides) under uncultured bacterium. Its description in RNAcentral is "bacterial SSU rRNA". It matches the Rfam family "Bacterial small subunit ribosomal RNA", at positions 354 to 777 of the family's 1533-position model. The record is from RNAcentral.